ACAUGGGGAGACAGUGUUGCCAGUGAGUGCCAUGGUUGCCUUUCUAUUCCAGCUCUUUGUCCUGGGAAGAGUUUGCUGCAUCUUCCAGUUUCAGUAAUCAAAGAAGCAAAGUUCCCUGCAGUUCUUCAAGGAACCUUGAGAAUUCAGAAGGUCUUGGGGUGGCUGCAUCCAUCCUGCAGACAAAUGCCAAUCAGCAGAGGGGCCAUUCCCAGGGACACAUGUCUGGCUGACUUGGGCCUUGGCCAGGCUUUGGAUUCACCUUGAAAACAUCCCCUCUGAACAUCAGAAGUCCACUUGGUCCCCGAACAGUGUAUUAACUUCUAACAUUUCUGACUUCCAGUCAUGGAGAUUUCAAAACCAAUUGCAUAUAGCAAUGAAGCUUUUCACUUUUAAUGGAACAUUUAGGAGAAGGGCGGCUUUUCCUAUUUUCUGUGUUAUCUUCAGCCUGUUAACUGUUGUCAGCCCUGGAGAGAAACCAUCCCUUCUCCUUAAAAACAUGAACCACAUACUAAGUUGCUUCUUGCCUCUUAAAGAUUCAGGUCACUCAGGUACAUCAGACUGAGACAGGACGCUCAGGUACAUCAUACUGAGACAGGACACUCAGGUACAUGAUACUGAGACAAACACUCAGGUACAUCAUACUGAGACAGGACGCUCAGGUACAUCACACCGAGACAGGACAUGUUGAUUGUUGGUGUGUAUUUCUCCCAAGCCACCACUCAAACCAGUGUUUGAUUUCCAUGGAGGUUGGCUGAUGGCUUUUAGCUUGAGCCCCAACAGUGUGACUUCAUACAAGGCAAUUUCUUCAGAAAUAUCAUGGAACUUCA
Molecule: long non-coding RNA, 827 nt
Filed under: Homo sapiens (human)
Lineage: Eukaryota; Metazoa; Chordata; Mammalia; Primates; Hominidae
Description: non-protein coding FRG1-DT:29
Source: RNAcentral